GUGCUCGCUUCGGCAGCACAUAUACUAAAAUUAAAA
RNAcentral lists this small nuclear RNA (36 nucleotides) under Cervus elaphus hippelaphus. The record is from RNAcentral. Lineage: Eukaryota; Metazoa; Chordata; Mammalia; Artiodactyla; Cervidae.